AUGGAGCCUCUUAGCAAGGAAGAAUCCAAGACUUUAUUUCACGAGGCAAAAAGGCCCGCUGAAAAUGAGUUGUUGAAAAUGUGUGGGGGCAUGCCAUUGGCAAUACUUAUUGCAGCCGGCAGGAAAUCUGCAGGACUAGCUGAGCCAGAGAUUCGUGAGAGACGUAUCCUUUCAACAUCAGACCAAUGUUCCACAUCGGAUGGGAUGAGAAUGUUAUUGCGCAUGAGUUAUGAUGAGCUACCUGCCCCUUUGAAGUCUUGUCUUGUAUACCUCGGUGUUUUUCCAGAAUAUUAUACCAUCAAGAAAGACCGUUUGAUACGGCUAUGGAUCGCUGAGGGAUUUUUCUUAGGAAGACAUGAAGAAAACUUGUGGAGAACAGGAGAAAGCUAUUUCAAUGAGCUCAUCUGUAGGCGGCUGAUUCAGCCAGUGUUCGGCUACGAAGAUGGCCAGGCUGUAGGAUGUGUGGUGCAUGGUGUGAUCCUUGACUUCAUCAAAACUUUGUCUACGGAAGGCAACUUUGCGACGACGAGUGCAGAUAUGAGGUCUGGACUAACUCCAUGGUACCUGAUUCCACGGUUCUCAUUCGAUUGCUGCAGUAAGGAAGAUGAAGCCGGCAAGCUGCUCUCAGUAACCCUGCACCUAUCUAGCAUGCGAACCCUCCAAGUUUGCGGGCGUGCUGGAUGGACAACCCUCCUCACAUAUCCUAAGGUUAGAAAAGGGAAGCCUGCUCUUCGAACCUUCAAAUUUCUACGAGUACUCGAUGUGGAAGAUAAUGGUAUUUUGAGAAGCCACCAUCUGAAAGGCAUUGGAGGGCUGAUUCUACUAAGGUACUUGGGACUUAGAGGGGCUGCUAUCCAUGAAUUACCAGGUGAAAUUGGAAAGCUUGAGCUUUGA
RNAcentral lists this ribosomal RNA (894 nucleotides) under Triticum aestivum (bread wheat). RNAcentral's name for it is "partial small subunit ribosomal RNA". Lineage: Eukaryota; Viridiplantae; Streptophyta; Magnoliopsida; Poales; Poaceae. The record is from RNAcentral.